Molecule: ribosomal RNA, 518 nt
Filed under: uncultured fungus
Lineage: Eukaryota; Fungi
Description: SSU rRNA
Rfam family: Eukaryotic small subunit ribosomal RNA
Source: RNAcentral
AUUAAAAACCAAUGCCCUUCGGGGCUCACUGGUGAUUCAUGAUAACUCCUAGAAUCGCAUGGCCUUGUGCCGGCGAUGGUUCAUUCAAAUUUCUUCCCUAUCAACUUUCGAUGUUUGGGUAUUGGCCAAACAUGGUUGCAACGGGUAACGGAGGGUUAGGGCUCGACCCCGGAGAAGGAGCCUGAGAAACGGCUACUACAUCCAAGGAAGGCAGCAGGCGCGCAAAUUACCCAAUCCCGACACGGGGAGGUAGUGACAAUAAAUACUGAUACAGGGCUCUUUUGGGUCUUGUAAUUGGAAUGAGUACAAUUUAAAUCCCUUAACGAGGAACAAUUGGAGGGCAAGUCUGGUGCCAGCAGCCGCGGUAAUUCCAGCUCCAAUAGCGUAUAUUAAAGUUGUUGUGGUUAAAAAGCUCGUAGUUGAACCUUGGGCCUGGCUGGCCGGUCCGCCUCACCGCGUGUACUGGUCCGGCCGGGCCUUUCCCUCUGUGGAACCCCAUGCCCUUCACUGGGUGUGGC